GUGAAGAACGCAGCGAAAUGCGAUAAGUAGUGUGAAUUGCAGAAUUCAGUGAAUCAUCGAAUCUUUGAACGCACAUUGCGCCCUUUGGUAUUCCAAAGGGCAUGCCUGUUCGAGCGUCAUUUGUACCCUCAAGCUUUGCUUGGUGUUGGGCGUCUUGUCUCUAGCUUUGCUGGAGACUCGCCUUAAAGUAAUUGGCAGCCGGCCUACUGGUUUCGGAGCGCAGCACAAGUCGCACUCUCUAUCAGCAAAGGUCUAGCAGCCAUUAAGCCUUUUUUUCAACUUUUGACCUCGGAUCAGGUAGGGAUACCCGCUGAACUUAAGCAUAUCAAUAAGCGGAGGA
Molecule: unclassified non-coding RNA, 340 nt
Filed under: soil metagenome
Description: partial contains 5.8S ribosomal RNA, internal transcribed spacer 2, and large subunit ribosomal RNA
Rfam family: 5.8S ribosomal RNA (bases 2-119)
Source: RNAcentral